UACGAAGGGGGCUAGCGUUGUUCGGAAUUACUGGGCGUAAAGGGCGCGUAGGCGGUCCCUCAAGUCAGGCGUGAAAGCCCCGGGCUCAACCUGGGAACCGCGUUUGAGACUGGUGGGCUAGAGUCCGGGAGAGGAUGGUGGAAUUCCCAGUGUAGAGGUGAAAUUCGUAGAUAUUGGGAAGAACACCGAUGGCGAAGGCGGCCAACUGGACCGACACUGACGCUGAGGCGCGAAAGCGUGGGGAGCAAACAGG
This 253-nucleotide ribosomal RNA is filed under the name uncultured bacterium. Its description in RNAcentral is "partial 16S ribosomal RNA". It matches the Rfam family "Bacterial small subunit ribosomal RNA", at positions 524 to 776 of the family's 1533-position model. The record is from RNAcentral.